CCGCUCGACGAUGACGACAUGGUCUCCUACAUCCUCGCCGGACUCGACUUCGACUACAUCUCCUUCGUCUCGUCCAUCUAUGCUGCGAGGACUGAGCCCAUCAAGGUAGCUGAACUUUAUUCUCAGCUGAUUGGUUUUGAAA
Molecule: non-coding RNA, 142 nt
Organism: Triticum urartu
Lineage: Eukaryota; Viridiplantae; Streptophyta; Magnoliopsida; Poales; Poaceae
Source: Rfam